This 349-nucleotide ribosomal RNA is filed under the name uncultured bacterium. Its description in RNAcentral is "partial 16S ribosomal RNA". The record is from RNAcentral.
ACUAUUGUCACGGGUUACCGCGGCUGCUGGCACGGAGUUAGCCGGUGCUUCUUCUGUGAGUGAUGUCCUUCCUGCCGGUUAUUGACCCGCAGGCCUUCUUCCUCACUGAAAGUGCUUUACAACCCGAAGGCCUUCUUCACACACGCGGCAUGGCUGGAUCAGGGUUGCCCCCAUUGUCCAAUAUUCCCCACUGCUGCCUCCCGUAGGAGUCUGGGCCGUGUCUCAGUCCCAGUGUGGCUGAUCAUCCUCUCAGACCAGCUACGGAUCGUCGCCUUGGUGAGCCGUUACCUCACCAACCAGCUAAUCCGACAUAGGCUCAUCCGAUAGCGCGAGGCCCGAAGGUCCCCCG